Molecule: ribosomal RNA, 497 nt
Filed under: uncultured bacterium
Lineage: Bacteria
Description: bacterial SSU rRNA
Rfam family: Bacterial small subunit ribosomal RNA
Source: RNAcentral
GAUGAACGCUAGCGAUAGGCCUAACACAUGCAAGUCGAGGGGCAUCACAUGAAGUAGCAAUACGGAUGGUGGCGACCGGCGCACGGGUGAGUAACACGUAUGCAACCUGCCUUCAACAAGGGGAUAACCCGUUGAAAGACGGACUAAUACCCUAUAACACAGGGGUCCCGCAUGGGAAUAUUUGUUAAAGGACAACCGGUUGAAGAUGGGCAUGCGUUCCAUUAGCUAGUUGGCGGGGUAACGGCCCACCAAGGCAACGAUGGAUAGGGGAACUGAGAGGUUUAUCCCCCACACUGGUACUGAGACACGGACCAGACUCCUACGGGAGGCAGCAGUGAGGAAUAUUGGUCAAUGGACGCAAGUCUGAACCAGCCACGUCGCGUGAAGGAAGACGGCCCUACGGGUUGUAAACUUCUUUUAUACGGGAAUAAAGUGCCCCACGCGUGGGGUUUUGCAUGUACCGUAUGAAUAAGGAUCGGCUAACUCCGUGCCAGCAG